UGGGGAAUAUUGGACAAUGGGCGCAAGCCUGAUCCAGCCAUGCCGCGUGAGUGAUGAAGGCCCUAGGGUUGUAAAGCUCUUUCACCGGUGAAGAUAAUGACGGUAACCGGAGAAGAAGCCCCGGCUAACUUCGUGCCAGCAGCCGCGGUAAUACGAAGGGGGCUAGCGUUGUUCGGAUUUACAGGGCGUAAAGCGCACGUAGGCGGACUAUUAAGUCAGGGGUGAAAUCCCGGGGCUCAACCCCGGAACUGCCUUUGAUACUGGUAGUCUUGAGUUCGAGAGAGGUGAGUGGAAUUCCGAGUGUAGAGGUGAAAUUCGUAGAUAUUCGGAGGAACACCAGUGGCGAAGGCGGCUCACUGGCUCGAUACUGACGCUGAGGUGCGAAAGCGUGGGGAGCAAACAGG
RNAcentral lists this ribosomal RNA (404 nucleotides) under Actinomycetes bacterium. Its description in RNAcentral is "Actinobacteria bacterium partial 16S ribosomal RNA". It matches the Rfam family "Bacterial small subunit ribosomal RNA", at positions 355 to 776 of the family's 1533-position model. The record is from RNAcentral. Lineage: Bacteria; Bacillati; Actinomycetota; Actinomycetes.